This 93-nucleotide transfer RNA is filed under the name Escherichia phage phi92. RNAcentral describes it as "Enterobacteria phage phi92 Hypothetical tRNA". Lineage: Duplodnaviria; Heunggongvirae; Uroviricota; Caudoviricetes. The record is from RNAcentral.
CUGUUCUACCGUGAUGGCUUCAUGGUUAGUGGUUUCUAUGUUGACUAUGUGGUACACGCUCUGUGGUUCAAAGCUCGCGUAGAAGAAUCUCUG